CCUUUGUACACACCGCCCGUCGCUACUACCGAUUGAAUGGCUUAGUGAGGCUUUCGGAUUGGAUCUGAGCAGCUGGCAACAGCAGCUUGGAACUGAAAAGUUAUCCAAACUUGGUCAUUUAGAGG
RNAcentral lists this ribosomal RNA (125 nucleotides) under Mortierella globalpina. RNAcentral's name for it is "partial small subunit ribosomal RNA". It matches the Rfam family "Eukaryotic small subunit ribosomal RNA", at positions 1657 to 1779 of the family's 1831-position model. The record is from RNAcentral. Lineage: Eukaryota; Fungi; Mortierellomycota; Mortierellomycetes; Mortierellales; Mortierellaceae.